RNAcentral lists this small RNA (569 nucleotides) under Pongo abelii (Sumatran orangutan). RNAcentral's name for it is "processed transcript". Lineage: Eukaryota; Metazoa; Chordata; Mammalia; Primates; Hominidae. The record is from RNAcentral.
GGAUUUAAUUAUUCCUCUCAGCUUUGGAAUCUUUUACUUCUCACUUGGACAAGAACUCAAGAGCAGAAUCUCCGUGUUGCAAUCUGGUUCCUAAGGAGGAAGAGGAAGGCAGCCCUGGAGUGGUUUCUUUACAGUAAUUUCAACAGAAGAGUGAGAGAUGGAACCCGAAGAAGAAAGGAUUCGUUACAGCCAGAGAUUGCGUGGUACCAUGCGACGACGCUAUGAAGAUGAUGGCAUUUCAGAUGAUGAAAUUGAAGGAAAAAGAACUUUUGACUUGGAAGAGAAACUGCACACCAACAAAUAUAAUGCCAAUUUUGUUACUUUUAUGGAAGGAAAAGGUCAGUAUCGUUUUGGUUCCAGCGUACAGUCCUUUGAUGUGGGAAGCCAUAGACUCUGAGCACUGGGGGUUUAGCAUUUAUCCAGCUAAAAUAUUGCUUGUUGAUGUUAUGUAUUUUCUCUUGUUAUACAAUGCCACUUGUAUGCACUUAUCCCCCAGUCCUCCCACCCUGUGAGUCAUUCUCUGCUAUAUUAGAAGUAAUCUUUUAUUAGGGCAGGAGUAUUGUUGGAUU